Molecule: long non-coding RNA, 4200 nt
Filed under: Hordeum vulgare
Lineage: Eukaryota; Viridiplantae; Streptophyta; Magnoliopsida; Poales; Poaceae
Description: long non-coding RNA (HVUL_LNC007182)
Source: RNAcentral
UUCACAAGCAGGAUAAACAUUGCAAUAUAUAAUAGAUGGAAGAGUAAUAAAAUUUGUCUUACAAUCGCCACAAGCUAAAUUACAGAUCCACACAGCCAUUCAUUAUUUCGAUAUAAAACAGGGUCCGAGUACGGACAAGAUAGACGACAAAAUUUAAUGCUAUCCCACCUUGCUAGGACCACGAUCACGACCAAGUGCCUCUAGUCCUCGGGGUACGUCACAUGCAACCGGCCACAGUCCUCGUCAAACUCCCACUUCAGCUGGGUAUCCUCGGAAGCAUUUGUAUCUGGGGUACCUGUACCUGUGGGUGGUUGUAGUAAUCUGUGAGCCACAAGGACUCAGCAAUCUCAUGACCUUAGAUUCGAAUCUAACUAAGUCACUAGGUGAGGAUGGGGUAUGUGUUUGGGUUUGCGGCAACCUAAGCAUUUAUAGUGGCUAACUUACAUUGAACAAGAAUUAAAGAUAUGGUGGUCUACGCAUGACGUUCGUUAACUAAGAAUAAUCACUAAGUGAUCCUGGACGCCAACUUACAUCAGUCAUAACCCCACCAUGUUCUCGAUUAGAGAAGGAACUCUGAAGGAGACAUUCCCAGUUACGCACACAGUUGGCAUGUUUUAAUUAAGUUACUUAAAGUUAUCUAGAACCGGAUGUUAACAAAGUUUCCAUGUUUGCCACAUAACCGCGGACAUGGCUUUCCAAAAGAUUUAACCCUGCAGGGGUGUUCGAAUUAAUCCAUCACAAAUUACCACAGGACGCAUAGAAAUCGUCGAUCAUGAAUGUCGUGACCUCGUUGGAUUCCUUAGUGGAAAACCUCAACUCAGAGAAGACCCAAAGUCUCACCGGAAUCCCAAUGCACAAGAUAUAUCGUUAAGGUAAGACAAGUCAAGCAAGACCUCUCGACAUGUCGACGAACCCGAUGAGCGCGUAUCUCGUUGUCAAGACACGACGGAUAAGCGAUGGUUACGACACCAAAACACCGAGUUACCCCAGGGAGCAUUAAUAAGCUGCUCUGGGUUGGACCAACACUCAUGAGGAUCACUGGCCUGGGGGUUGAUUAAUUCUCCUCGGGGUAGCUAUUCCCUAUGCUUUUAUUAUUAAGAUGUUAGCAAAUUAACACCAAAGUUGGGUCUUGCCAGACAACCCUUAGUCUAAACAAUUUACCAAGGGGGUCCCCAUAACAACCCCGAACGUGUUUGGUCCGCUCAGUUAUGGAAUAAAACAUCGGAAGCCGAAACUAAUAUGUGAGGAUGGGGUAUGUGUUUGAGUUUGCAGGAACCUAAGCAUUUAUGGUGUAUAACUUACGUUGAACAAGAAUUAAAGAUAUAGUGGUAUACGCAUGACGAUUGUGAACUAAGAAUAAUCACUAAUAGAUCAUAAACGCCUACUUACAUCAUUCACAACCCCACCUAUUCUCGAUGAGAGAAGGAUCUCUGAAGAAGAUAGUCACGGUUACACACAGUUGGCAAGUUUUAAUUAAGUUACUUUAAGUCAUCUAGAACCGGGUGCUAACAAAGUAUCCAUGUUUGCCACAUAGCCGCAGCACGGCUUUCCGAAAUAUUUAACCCUACAGGGGUGCUCCGACUAAUCCAUCACAAAUUACCACAGGCCCCAUAGAAACCCUCGAUCAUGAAAUUCGUGAUCUCGUCGGAUUUCUUAGUGGAAAACCUCAACUCUAUGAAGACCAAAGUCUCACCGGAAUUCCAAUGCACAAGAUAUAUCGUUAAGGUAAGACAAGUCCAGCAAGACCACCCGAUGUGUCGACGAACCCGAUAAGAGCCGCAUAUCUCGUUCUCACGACAGAAUAGAUGGAACUAGCUAUGGGGAAAACCAAUCCCCACCUCGUGGUGGUGCAGGCAGUACAUUUUGGACCAACAAUCAUGAGGAGCACUGGCCCGGGUUGUUGAUUAAGUCUCCUCGGGGUAGCUAUUCCCUAUGCUUUUUAUUAAGUUGUUGGCAAAUUUAACACCAAAGUUGGGUCUUGCCAGACAAGCUUAACACUAAACGAUUUACGAAGGGGGUCCCCAUAGCAACCCCGAAGCUGUUAGGAGCGCUCAGUUAUGGAAUAAAACAUCGGUUGCCGAAACUAAGGUGGCAAAGGCGGAACAAAUCACCUAGAAAGAAGCCAGGUCUUCCGCCUUUUACCAAGUAUAUAGGUGCAUUAAUUAAAUAACAUUUAAAAUAAGAUGAUAAUAAAAUUGCCCAUGUUAUCACAUGGAUGAGCUUGCACCUGCAACUAGCAACGCUAAUGAAAUUGUUGAGCAAGCCUAACUUAGCCAAACAAUAUUUGCUAGGAGGGGAAAUGUUAGAGGUUUCAUGGCAAUGUUUGAUGGCAUAUAUAUCAUGUGGUAGGCAGCGGAAAAAACGGUGGAAAUGAAUCAACUAUUCAUAACAAAGCUAUAAACGGUGUCAAGGUCAUGAUCAUCUUGUGUGUGAUAUCUUCAGAGUGGAACUGUUGCCGAUCUUACUGAAUGAACUCACCGGACUCCUUGAACUCGUUUCACGCACCCAUUGCUACCAAAAGAAACAAUCACCCAAUAAACACCAGCAAGUGAUAAUACAACACACAAUAUGAUGCAUGUAUGGCACACACUUCAAAGCACACAUAGAAAUAAUCCUACUCAAAUGACAAAGUGCCACCUCAUCACAAAAUGGCACUUUUUUAGAACUGCUCAAAACUGCAAACUAGUGCAACCAUUAGAUUCCUUGGGUUUUUCUACCCCAAAUCCAUAUAUCAUACUGCUAUACUUGCAUGCAUAAAAAUACCACAAAACUGAAAAGGAAAUCUACCGAGAAUCAUAAAUCACUAUAUGUCAAAAUGAGAGGUUGAUUUUGCAUAUGCCAGGUUUGGCAUAUUCCAUCUCUGGAAUAUUAAAGAUAUGGAAAUACCCACAACUAAAAAUAAAUGCCCUCAAAAUAUAAUAUAACAUGGGGGGGCACGGGUUAUAGGCACCAGGGCCCUAGUGCAUGACUGGUGGGUUGUGUGGCCCACUGUCAGUGGCACAACUACAACAAUCAGCAACUUGCAACAGAAAAAAUGAAAAGGGGAGAAAUGUGGGUCGAACCCACCACCUCACCAAACACAACCAUGCCCCCAUGCCACUGGGCUACUUUGAUGUAGCUGCACUAAUAGGGGAGAAACUCAGAUAACCAACCAUUGCAUCCUAAUCCAUAGAAGGAAAAAAUAACCCAAAAGGGGUGCGCGCUAGGGGUCUCAAACCCACGACCAACAAGUGCGGCUGUGGCUCGGUUGCCACCGCGGUAGGUUGCGGGUUCUGCUAGAAAAGGGGCACCAAUUCAGAUAAGCAUAUCACAGGCUACACAACAGACCGAAAUUGCAGAAUUUAAAAGGGGUGCGGGGUUUUGACCCAAGACCAUCAGGUCUUUGUGUUGCGCUAGAACUAGUAGGCUAGGUAGGGGGAUUCUGUUGUAUGUUGGGAUCCACACGAGAUGUCAAAUUAAAAGGGGACGCCUUCCACUGCUAGAGAAGAGAGACGCCGGCGGCAUCUCACCGGUGCAAGCACAAGCACGCACACUCAUGACACUACAUGGGGAAACUGCUAGCGGUGUUGUGUGCUCGAGCAAAGGGCAUCUCUGGCCUUCGCAAACGCGCAUGCAAGCAAGCAAGCAGCUGUGCACGAGCGAGUGCAGCUGCACUCGCCGGUGCACUCUGCAACUGCUGCUACUACCACUAUGUCUCUGCAGCUACUUCCACUAUGGCAUUGCUGCUACUGCCACUACGAUGUUGCUUCUACUACCACAAUGGCGUUGCUUCUAGUGACACUACGACGUUGCUGUUAUUACGCGACGGUAGUGAAAAAAGCAACGGCGAUGGCAGUCUACGUGACGCCGGAUGGCUACAGACACAGAGGGGGAAGCAGAGGAGAGCAGUGUUGCGGCUCACCCAGGGUGGAGGGGAUUGGAACUCUAACGAAGGGGAGGAACGACGCGUCGACGAUCUCCUUGCAGAAGAGGUCGCAUGAGGUGCUGAAGAGCCAAUCGUCAUGGACGUCGAAGUGCUCACUCCUGGCGCCCGAUCACUACGGGAAUGGAUCCCUCUUGGCGUCCGCAUCCUUCGGGUGCAGCUGGGGAAGAAGGGGGCGACGCCUACGCCGGUGACGAGCUUGAGUAGGAGGCGGCCGUGGCGAUGAUGGUGGUGCUUGGGUCCUCGCCCCGAGGGUGCUAGGGGAAGAGGAGGAGGGA